UACCAGCACCCCGAGUGGUCGGGACGAUUAUUGGGCCUAAAGCAUCCGUAGCCGGUUUUACAAGUCCUCCGUUAAAUCCAGCUGCUUAACAGAUGGGCUGCGGAGGAUGCUAUAAGACUAGGAGGCAGGAGAGGCAAGCGGUACUCAGUGGGUAGGGGUAAAAUCCGUUGAUCCAUUGAAGACCACCAGUGGCGAAGGCGGCUUGCCAGAAUGCGCUCGACGGUGAGGGAUGAAAGCUGGGGGAGCAAACCGG
Molecule: ribosomal RNA, 253 nt
Filed under: uncultured bacterium
Lineage: Bacteria
Description: partial 16S ribosomal RNA
Rfam family: Archaeal small subunit ribosomal RNA
Source: RNAcentral